Molecule: long non-coding RNA, 271 nt
Filed under: Elaeis guineensis (African oil palm)
Lineage: Eukaryota; Viridiplantae; Streptophyta; Magnoliopsida; Arecales; Arecaceae
Description: long non-coding RNA (EGUI_LNC077972)
Source: RNAcentral
UCAGCCCUAAUUUGGCAUCAUUUUUUAUUUAUUUUUUAUUUUUAAAAAUAAUAUUAUAAAAAUUGAGAUGAAAUAUAUGUUUGGUAUUAUUAUUAUUAUUUUCUAUUUUUAAAGAUUAUUUUAAAAAUAAAAUGAUUAUUUUGAUGAUAUAUGCUAUAUCAUUUUUGAGUAAAAUGAUUAUUUGAUGAUACAUGCAAAGAUUAAAUACUUGAAAGGGACUGAUAGAGCUCAUGAAGUUAUGUGUAUAGUUGUUUCGAUAUAGAGUGUUUGU